RNAcentral lists this unclassified non-coding RNA (1317 nucleotides) under Leishmania donovani. RNAcentral describes it as "gene:LdHU3.32.3070(CDS-product:EamA-like_transpor ter_family_putative)". Lineage: Eukaryota; Euglenozoa; Kinetoplastea; Trypanosomatida; Trypanosomatidae. The record is from RNAcentral.
CGUCCCAUCAGAGGCUCCGCAAUUUUCUCGCUUGCCCUCUGUCUAUACUGAUGCUCCCUCUGCCAGCGGUGCUUUAUGAUUUGUUUCUCUUUCGGCUGUGCUGGCGUCAUCCGUGAACACAGACAUUGACAUCAUCGCUGAACCACUCGCAGAGACACAGCCAUUCAACUGUGCCGAUACGCCAGCGUUAAACAAGGGCGGCACACCUGCCCGUGUCAGAGCACCGCUCACGACCUUCCGAGGCACACGCGCACUUCUCCGCGCAUCUUCGACUGCACCAUGCCUGUGCUCUCGUCGUCACCACGGAGCUCCCGACCGCCGACAGAGGCGUCGGUUCCCUCGCGCGCUGUGGCGGUUCACCGAGCGGCGCCGAUGUUCCUUGUGAACGCGUCUGUUGCCGGUGCUUGUGGAGCGCUCUCCGGUGUGGUCGGAAAACUUGCUGUGGAGUCUGCCCGCGUCCCGUCGCUGGUGCGGAGCGGUGGCCUCUACCUGCAGCUGGACCUGGCCACCAUGGAGAUGGUGCAGGCUGUCGUUCCAUGGCUGCUGCGCAUCUUUUUCUUUCUCAUGAACGCCAUUCUUACGGGGUCGAUGUGGCGCUUCUACUUGAAGGCGCUCUCGCAAGGUCCGACACCAGUGUGCCAGAUCCUGAAUACUGGAACGAACUUCGUGGUGAGCGCGCUGGCUGGGCUUGUGUUUUUCGAGGAGGAGGUGACGCCGAUGUGGGGUGCCGGUGCGCUCUUGAUUGUCUUGGGCCUGGCGCUGGUAGUGUCCGACCCGCAAGUGAGCGCCUGAGGGGACGGCGAAGGCGGAUUGUGAAGAGGUGUAAGCAUGUUGGCGGUUUUCGCCAAAGGCUGUUCGUGACGGUGUGCGAAAGGAAGACCGCGACGUGCACGGGGCGAUUGUUGAUGCCCCUUUUUGCACGCAAUACAAGCGCCGCGCCUGUUCUUUGCUCUGCGACAAAGAAGGCGUGGUCUUGGUGCCUGCCGCGCUCUUUCCAGCUUCAUGAAGAUGUGAGGCGAAGCGCGCUGAGCCACGGGCUAGUGGGAGGGAGGCCCAUGACAACGGCCCCCCUUCCUCUACUCCUUCCGUGGUGACGUUUCGAAAGCUGUACCCACACGCGCAAACAAAAAGACGGACGCGUCUCUAAGCCACGCUUCCGUGGACUCACCUGGCACCCCCACCCCUUCCACCUCUUGCGCUACUACCUCGUUGUCCCUCCCUUCCCCUUACCCCUCCACUCACCUUUGUCUCUCGUGCGUUCUCUGCCUCGCCUGCUCCGUUCAUUCGAUGUGGGUCACGGGUCUAUCUGCUGUGUAG